AGCGAACGCUGGCGGCAGGCCUAACACAUGCAAGUCGAACGAACCUUUCGGGGUUAGUGGCGGACGGGUGAGUAACACGUGGGAACGUGCCUUUAGGUUCGGAAUAACUCAGGGAAACUUGUGCUAAUACCGAAUGUGCCCUUCGGGGGAAAGAUUAAUCGCCUUUAGAGCGGCCCGCGUCUGAUUAGCUAGUUGGUUGAGGUAAUGGCUCACCAAGGCGACGAUCAGUAGCUGGUCUGAGAGGAUGAUCAGCCACAUUGGGACUGAGACACGGCCCAAACUCCUACGGGAGGCAGCAGUGGGGAAUCUUGCGCAAUGGGCGAAAGCCUGACGCAGCCAUGCCGCGUGAAUGAUGAAGGUCUUAGGAUUGUAAAAUUCUUUCACCGGGGACGAUAAUGACGGUACCGGAGAAGAAGCCCCGGCUAACUUCGUG
This 433-nucleotide ribosomal RNA is filed under the name uncultured bacterium. RNAcentral describes it as "partial 16S ribosomal RNA". It matches the Rfam family "Bacterial small subunit ribosomal RNA", at positions 29 to 507 of the family's 1533-position model. The record is from RNAcentral.